RNAcentral lists this long non-coding RNA (27051 nucleotides) under Xyrichtys novacula (pearly razorfish). Lineage: Eukaryota; Metazoa; Chordata; Actinopteri; Labriformes; Labridae. The record is from RNAcentral.
AGAACAGAGAGCUGCAAGGACACACUCCGCUUCCAUUUGAUUGUGGGACACUUUAAUUUCUUCAUUCUGUGGCGGCGGCAGCGGCGGCACGACGGAGAUGAACAUCCGCUAAUCACCUGCACGUCCAUCACAUCGACCUCCUCCUCCUCCUCCUCCUCCUCCUCCCACGAUUCCCUGCACAGGAUUGAGUUUGGGCUGGGGGUGAAACUGUUGACCCCUCCACCUCCUCUCAGGUGAGAAAAAAGGAGGGAUUUUCUUUCUAUUCUGUCUCCUUCCGUCUCUUUCAUCACCUCGCUUGUAAUUAGCCGGAGCUGAGAUUUUUCUCUUUUGUCGGCGCUCUGAAAGGUGGAUAAGCGUCCUUUGUGCCUUCUCACACCUUUUUUAUUUCUUUUAACAAGUUUUUUUUUCUUUCUUUCUUUUUUUUAAGACGAACCUCAGAGCCAGCCGCUGCCGUCUCAGAAGGAAGCUGAUAACCAAGAGGGAGUUUCUACUUCUCUCUUUUGCCGCCGUCUUUAUCUCCCAGGACACAAUUAGCUGCUCUAUCGCUCAUCACCAUGCCGGUAUUUUUCCUCUCUCUCUCUCUCUCUGUCUCUCUCUCUCUCUCUGCCUUUUCUCUCUUUUUCUCUGCAUUUAAAAGACGCCGUUCUUUGUCGAGGUUCACUCUUGAAAAGUUGAAAGCACAUUUGGGUCUGCAGUGGAAGAAACACAACUGUGUGUGCAGAGAUAAAAUGGUCUCAAACUGCUUUGUUCAAAACAGAAACAGCAGCAUCCUGAAUUUAUCCAUUUAAAGAAGAUCUCACUGAAGCACAAAGACUCAAGUUAGUUUUCUGCCCCAAGUUUUAAGUCUUCUCACUCUUCACCUCCGGCUCUGCGCCGUGUUAAAGAGAACUGUCUUGGCUCCUUUUAUGCCGUACCUUCACAUCAUCGGAUUAUUUGUAGCUUCCUGAACAGCUGCCGGUUCCUCGCUUGAUCGGGUUUUCCUCAUUAACCGAACUAAUAAAAGAAUUAUGGGAUAAAUGAACUCCCUAAUGUCUGCAAAGGGGCGCCGAAUUCCCAAUUCAGUUCUGACAUCCACGGAUCCCCCAGCAUGUGAACCCUGUCAGUGGACCCAAAGGGGGUCUCCUCUCUCAGGGAGAAUCCCAGUGUGCACUUUUUCAGUUUCUAUAAGACCGAGACAUGACUGUGACAUUUAGGGAUCAGGACCAGGUCAAAACCAAGACCGAGACCAGGUCAAAACCAAGACCCAGACCAGGUCAAGAUGAAGGUUUCUAUCGGUCUGCCGUCUCUUGAUGCUUUCUCUUUAAAACCCGCGUCAUACCCCCGCUGACUGAAAAACUAAACACCAAUUUCACGCCCUGAUAUUUGCUUUUAUGAACCAUUUUCUUAUAAUGAUCAAAUUUGUGUUGCAAAAAAACACAAGAACUGGAUUUGUGUAAAAACACAUGAAUGGACUGCACAGUUACAAAAGGCUGAAGGUAUUUAAAGGGUUAAAAAGUUAAACAGAUGUGAAAACAUGUUAAAAAAGUCACUGAGACUAACCCACUGAGCAUGUUUUGGUCUAAUAGACGUCUAAAUGUAGCCUUGACGACUGGUCUAAAAUCAGCCAACCACAAUGAAGUUUUCUAGAAAUUUAGACUAAGUCUAAACCUGGGCUAUAUCUAAACUACACUGUAUAUCGCUCAAUGGCUAUCAUAAUGAUUCUGGUUAAGUUCUUGGAGAUCAGUUUUGCAACUCAUAGUUGCUUUCUGAAGUAAAUAGUUAUCAAAUAAUUAUAAAAGUGCAGCGUCUAAAUUCCACCUAAAAAUAUACAGAAUCUAGACGGUUGAAAUUUGGUCUAAAAUAAAAACUAGACGUCUGAUAGCCUCUAGUCUGAUGCUCAGUGGGAAAUAACAGCUCAUUCUAAGAAUGAGGUACAGUGUUUAAAAACGGAUCCCUCAAUGUUUUAUUUACUUUUAUGUCUUUAAAAGCAACAUGACGUUAAAUUUGAGUCUGCUCUUAUUUUCUAUGUACUUCAUCAGGCCACUAGAGGGCGCAUGGUCUCAUUUACACCGAUCUUGAUUUAAAUAACUUUUGAUUUCGAGAGAAGGUUAAAAGACUUCUUCAGAUUGAUCUCGAGUACCUCAGUACUAGUCCAGCAGCACAUUCUUGGUGUCGGAUUUGCUUUUGUGUCUCUAAAAGUUUCAGCAGGUUCAGGUUUUAAUAAACAAAGACCGUCUCAAACACCAAUAACACCACGACGGAGGACAAAAUAAACAGGAUUCAAGACUGUUAUAAACGACCAGCAGAAACAAAUCAACACAGACACGAGUUUAAACACCACAGCGAGAAAAAUUAAGACCCAUAAUAGUUAAUUAUUUUUUAUUUCUAACCUGCACACAACAUCGUCUCUUUUUACUUCAGCUCGAAGUCGAUGGACCAUCAAGAGAGCAUCAUAUGAUUCUGUGCAUUUUAGUGCUCUCAAAGUUAACAAAUUCAGCCGUACAUUUGGACCUAAUCCAUCUCACUUUAAAGAUUCAUAAUCAUCGCAAAACUAAAAUGAAAACAAUUCCAGACCCUGAAGGUGUAGUGGACCCCGGAUCACCAGCCUAAGACGAUGUGACUCGAGUUAAAUGAAACCCGAGUUUGGAGUCCGAGCAGCAGGAUGGUGACCAGUCUUCACUCAGUAAAUGUGUAAAAAAACAAGUAAAUGUAAAAAUAUAAAGUUAAAACAAUAAAAAAAGAUAUUUGAGGGAGUGGAUAUGAGCUCUUAUUCACAUGGAUGUCUGCUGAAGAAGAAACACUCAUUUUUCACCUGUUUAUCUUCACUGUUAUCCGUCACCACCUUCAGGGCAGCCGAUGAUUUCAGACGCCGAGUUUCUCCGUCUCUCCGGAUCCCUGAUUCAGUUUUUACUUUUUAAAUUUAGCUUUUUUGUUUUUGUUGUUUGUGUCUCCUCGUCUUUCUGGUUUUUCCAGUCUCUGAAUUUUGAAAUUAGCCUUUUUGACGUGGGAGCGAUGUGAGUGAUCUCCGGCCUCUCUUCUGUUUAUCCCAUUUUUUAAUCUUUUCAUGUGUUUUUAACGAUGUAAACAAACAUCCAGCCUGAUGCUCCGCGCUUCAUCUGCAGUCAGAGAGCAAACGGGCAAUUAAAAGUGAAGCUGUGAAGCUGAACGGCGUUCAUACAGAUUAAGAGACAGCACCAUGAGGAGCCAGGAUUUGCCUGUGAUAAAUGAAACUAAUAGCAGAUCCGUCAGUAAAUGAAACAAACUGUUUAAAGGGUUUUAACAAGCAGCAGUAUCUCCUGUGAGUUUGAUCGUCUGGGGCUCGUUUCUGACCAGAUUAUGAUCAAGAGUUAGCGCCAGAACCUAAAGGGGAAAUUUGGCAUCUUCAGACCUGGACCAGAUUUACCAUGUUUGAGAUUUUAAGUGAUUUGGAGGUUCAUGGAGCUGAACCGCACCAGCAGAUUGCUUCAGCUGGCAGUGGACUGUGAUAGCUGUUAGGAAAAUGUGCAUAAAGAAAAUAAGUUCUUCUCCUUGACUCCGAAAAUCUGUGGAUCCUUUUCUGCAACUUCAUCAACCACCUUUCCUCCAGAUACGACUUUUGUGAAAUGAAAAAGUCCUGUUUUUAUAUCAAAGUUUUCACCAGUUUUUAGGUCGUGCACAAACUUAAAGCACGACGUAAAAUAUUUGUCAUUACCGAUGAACAGGACGGCUUAUGUUGCAAAUCAUAAAAACAGGAAUACACUGUAUCUGAAAAACAUGCUUCCAUACAAGCUUCCAAACCAACUACGAACUUCCACUGAGCGAAGAAGCGACUUUUUUUGCCCCUGUAGCAAAUUUUGUGAACAUUUGUUGGCGAACUGUUACAUAAAUCUCACGCCAAUCAUAAAUCUUACCUUGGAUAUGUAGCGAGCCGUUGCUCUGGAUCAAUCGUCUCUCUGUAAUUUGUUCUCUCCUUCUGCAAACGUGGAGUCGGCUGAUGGAGCAGUUCUUGAGAGACUUUUUCUAAAGUAUUGUCAGAAUUUCUCAGGACACAAUUUAACCUCCUGGAUCGUUGUGUGGAGCUCCCCCGUUUCUUGUCGCACGGUCAGUAUUCGAUGUUCCCGGACACUUUGAUUCUUGUUUUUCUUUUUGUUAUUUAAUCGGCUCACAACCAUGACCAGGUCAUCAUCACUUAAGGAUGUAGUCGCCGUUGUUUCCUCCUUCUUCUCUCUCUCUGUUUUCCUGUGGCGAAUUUUUAUGCCAAUAUGCAAAUUUUAUUCGCGUCGCACCAGAUGUGUAUAGGUAAGGUCGGAGCUGAAUCUUUCACAUUUUUGUGUUGCUUUGUUAAUUUACCGGUGUGUAACGACCUUGAGUCUAUGUUCACCAAAAUGCACAGACGAGCAGUUUGGAGGAAGUAGGACGAACAGAGCCCCAUCUCAGAGUCACAAGAGCCAAACGUGAAAAUGAAAUUAGCAUAAAAAUCAAACUAAUGUAACGACACACCGAUAGGAUCAGGUAAAACAGUGGCCUUCAAAAAUUUCAAGACAUCGAAUGAAUCCUGAAAUCUUUAGAAAAGACAGAGCGAAGAAACAUCCGACAGGAACAGAGAAAACAACCGUUGUUGUUUUUCUAAUUAUUAUUUUAUAUAAUUUUUUCUUUAUUAUUAUUAUUUUAUUUUAUAUAACAUUUUGUCCCCAAACCACAUACAUUGUACUCCUUAUACUCCCAAUAUUCCUUACCGUACAUUUUGAAGAGUUGUGACUGAUACUCCCAACUUCUCUCUCAUUUGUAUUUUUGCUCUGCUUGCCUUUAUUGCUGAUGUACCAUUCACUUUUUGUUGUUGUUGUUUUUGUCUCUCGUUAUGGUCUUCGUUGGUGUUUUUUUCAAAUUUCUUGUUAUUUCUUGUAUCUAUUUUAAUUCUAAUUGCACUUUACUUCUCUGCAUGUCUUGUUAAAUGUUUGCAAUAAAAAACAAAAAAAAGAAAAAUACAACAGAAACUCCUGAAAUUGUCCAGAAACAUGUCAAGGACAUACGACGAACCCUACGCCCGGUGAAUUUUGGUGAAAACGGUGGAAGAUGAGGAUGAGAGCUGAGCUGAAGCUCGGACAUCACCUGGUCCAUAUCCCAACGACAAAUGAACAAGUGAACUGAGACCAACCUCAUCAGUGAAACCCUGGUCCGGUCUGGUCCUGACUCGGGUUUGAUUGACAGCUCCUACACCCACUCAGAAACAGACUCAUGUGUCUUUAUAAGGUCAGGUGUCAGGAAGCCCCUAAACGUGUGACCGUAGAGGAGGGCAAAACACGGCGCUCCGGUUCCAGCUGUCUGGACUAAAAGCUGGUGAAGUGCAAAGAUGCUUUAUUUGGUCAUGGCUAAAAGCAACAGGCGGGAAAGAAGUCAGUCAGUGGAGCGUUUAAGCCUUUUCAGCUCCUCUUUUGAAGGACACAAACUUCUUUUCUCGAACCGUGAGCCAUACAGUGAUGUGCUAUUUUUACUCUUUUCAGAGCACAAACAAAUAUCCACACAAAGACCCAUUUUCUAUUACAAUCACUGCGAGAGAAGAAAUAAAGAAAAGUAGGGCAUAGAUCUGCUUUUUCUCCUUUCAAUGAAAGACCUUCAUUUUUGAAGCAGUUACAGGCAGAAUCUGCUGCUCCCGUGUUCAAUCUCAUGUUUUCUGAAAACCCCAAAGUGUUGAUUUUUCGCCUUUCUAUACUCCGGCAUUACUCAUGAAUCCUGUGACUGUUUAUAAAAGGAAGCAUUUACAAUACAAAGAGGCACGGCGGCAUUGAUUUUUUUUUAAAGACUAUCCAUAUCCAUACGGGAUAAAGGAGCACUCAGGCGUUUUCUGCCUCAGAUAUGCUCUAUUGAUAACAUAUUUUCAAAACGCAGCACAAGGACCCUCCGCAGAUACAUGGUAUGUUCAAAGAAGCCUGAACGAGUCCCUGCCUGCCUCUGAAAGAGAUUCAACAAAGUCUGACAACCUCGUCGUCAUUAGUCACACUCGGAGAAAACACAGCACACUUUCCAUACUUCAAUGGAUCCUCCUCUGAUGGAGGAUUUGCUUGUUAAAAAGUUCUGUCAAAAUAGUUGUUCAUACGUGUUUUUUCCUCUUUGUUCGCCGCCGGCUUACAGGCAGUAUUUAAUGAUAGCAGAGCCGGUCAUACAUGGAGAGUCAGACUGCAGGAAUCCCUUCUUACGAUAAUGAAUCUGAGCAUGAAAAUUCAAAUCAUGCCUCACAAGGGAAUCGCAGCGGGGAUGUGCUCUGAUUCUGGCUCCGCUGGUCAAUCAUUAAAAGCACAACAGGCUUGUCUUCUGGUCAAUUUGGAAAACCACAGGAGGGUAGAGAUCAAUAAAUAUCUCUAAGUGCGAGUCCUCACCGUCCACAACCCCCCGAAGCCUUCGCUGAAGAAAGAAAUGUUGUCGUGAAGUCGACAUGGCGGCCAUCAUUUCGGUUUCCUGUUGCUCGUGCGGAGAGAUCAGGCCGGCGGGGGGCCAGUUCAGUCAAAACUUUGAUCUUAAUAGAGAUGGGUUCAACUUUUUGGACCACACAGACGUGGUCCUAAAGUGCAUGGUGGUGUAAAAGUCCAGCGUGUUCAGAACCUGGAUGUAGCCUCAGCGUUGGUCUUGUAGUUCAGCGACUGCAGAAACGAUGAAGUCGAUGGUGUUUUUUGUCAUGACCUGCUUGAGGGUGAAACCGUGAAUCAAACUAAAAAGGAAUAAGGUAGGGUGACCAUAUUCUGAAUCCCUAAAAAGAGGACACAACAAUUUUUUCGGCUGGGUUAAGUGUUAUUUAUGCGCUUUAACCCCAAAUUUCCACCACAUCUGGAACGUCAGCGAUUUUUGUCAUCUGCCAAUUCCUACCGGAUCUGUUUGUGAGGUGAAUUUUGUGGCAGAUUACGGACAGCAGGAAUCAUGAGAACUCACAAGAACCUGCAGAUUCACGUGCAAUCACACAACAAGGAGUUGCCUCCUUAUUGUGUGAUUGCACAUAGACAUAUAAGCAGUAGAUUGUGUCCUUCCAGAGGAGGAAAUCUACUUCUAGACUUCUAGAAUCAGCAUCUCCUCAUCCAUGGUGUCAUCGGGGUGAAAUGACGUCUAAAAACCUUUCACUUGUUCGUCUCCGCCAGUUUGCAUGGUGUGAAAUACGAUCCUCCUGAAACACGGAGUGUUUUAUUUUGAAAAGAAGCCGGAUCUUUUAUUUUGUGUCUGUGCCCGACUUCCUUUCCAGCACGGGUUGAAUUUAUCCGGCAUGCUCCAGCGUCUGGAAAAAAUUGAACUUUUGUGAUCAGCUGCAGAAUUUCUCCAUGUACUGGGUCACCUGACCUCUUGACUCACCUGCACAUGAAUUACACCACCAUUAAAUCACCCUACCAAGACCAGGAGACCCGAAUACGAACUUUACUUGUCGUUAAAUAAGAAUUAAAUAGACAGAACUCUUACAGAAAGGUUCCUCAACAACGUAAAGAAGUAGAUUUCUCCUUUAUCUGAGGGUAUUUCUCACUUUUUUAAAAUGACGACAUCUAAUCGUAAUUAUUAGAUACUUGAAUGAUCUCGCGGUUUCAGUGACUUCUUAUCCUCGUAGAGUUUGCUGCUCCCGACAACAACAUCAGACACAUUAUCAUCUGACUGACUGUUAUGAAAUGGUAGUACUCAGUAGAAUAAUAUCAUUUUGAACAUCUCCAACCUUUCACUUGAUGUGUUUAUUUUCCUGCAGCCUGAAACCUUCAGUGGCGGACUGAUGGCGCAGGAGCAAAAUGUCGCCUCCCUCCAGGCCCGUCUGAGUGAAUGUGCUGAGGUCUGACAUCCACCAGGUGCAUUGUGGGUUUGAUUCGACAGGGAGGCAGGUUGUUUUGUUGUUGUGAAGUGUAAGAAACAUCAAACCAGCAGAGUUACACCCGCCUGAGGGUGUGGAGCCGAUGGAAAGUGUGGACGGAGAAGUUUCGUGUUUUGUUUUUGGCAGGUAGGGGCGGCAGCGGCGUGAUUGAUUUUUGGAGAGUCAAAGGGGCGACUUUCUCUCUCAAAUACUAAGAGGAAUCUGCACUUUUAUUAUGAGGAGAAAAACACAAAUAUUUGGAGUUUGGUUUUGUAAGAAAGCUGACUUUAGUCAAUGCUUUUCUUUUCUGCUGGUGAGUUCACAUUUUGGAAACAAAAGACGCCGAAUCCUGCUGAUACAAGCAGGAUUAAGGCUGCAAACAGGAUCCAGUCCCCCCCUCUGGUGUUCAUUUUCCCACACUCACCAAAAUGAAUGAAUCAUAAUUUGGUACCAAAUGUUGUAAAUGGGAUUGACCCCUCGCCUGGAGUCUGAUAAAAUGGACAACACAGCACUCCACACUGACGCUGUGUUUACACCACAUGGGAACAAAAACACUUCUGCGAGUGAGUAACACGUAGAGUCGGUGUGAAGGUGAGAUUAGACCUGAGUUUUUUUAAACAGAUUAUACAUUUAAUUCAUGAAAACUCGUGACGUGUUCAGACUUAUUUUGUAGGAGUUGAAAAAUCUGAGCUGUAGUGAAUCACUUAACGCUCCAACAGCCAAUCAGCAUGUAGGUUCCCUGGUGACAUGGAUGCGACACUGAUGUUUGUUUUUGAUAUCGAAACAGGGAUAAGACGAAGCGACCUCGAGGAAAGUCAGUUAGACAGUUGGAGUAUCCGGUCAGUUGUGCAAACAUGACAAAUCCUCGUUGUGUAGUUAACCUAGCAUAAAUUUGUGUGUUUGGGCACUUCGAUAGACGCAAUACGGCACGCUAGUGACUCACCUACUCUCUUCCAGCAGCCGCUUGUUUGUAGUGAGACCUCGGGCCAGUCCAUUAUGGACAACAGUGGGGUGACGCAGCUCAAGGAAGAACAUUUACGAUCAGUACUUUAUAGAAAUAAGGUCUCCGUACAAACAAGCAGCUGCUGGAAGAGAGUAGGUGAGUUGUGUUUAGUCUCUUUGUUAAAGAAAUGAGUCAAAGUUAAAAAGAUGUUUGGUGUCUAGUACUAUGUCUGUGACCCUAUAUGUCCUGUUGAUGAAGUUAGGUGCUGUUCUGAGCAUUAUUUGUGGCUAUAGAGUGGCGUUUUGGUUGAGGUUUGUUUAUGGCUCCUGCGGUCGUUACAUUCAUCUCUAGACGGGUGUCUAACUCGGUGUUUAAGUGUGUUUGACCCUAAAUUAAUUUUACACCGGAAUAUCCCUUUAAGUGAGUUGAUAAUUUAACAAUGAUUCAUCGAUAGAUUUUAUUCAUUAACAACUGGGCUCAUUGAACACAACUACAGCUGAAACAAACAUGGCCGCCGCAGGGACGGUUUUUGCUUAAUGUAGCUAGCUGCUUCGAGAUCCAGUUCAUCUGUUCUGGAACCAACUUCUGUUCGACUCAUUCAUGUCAUUUUACCACGAAUCAACAACGCAUUUCACAUGGCUGUGUUUGCUGUGAAUAAAAAUCUUCCUGCUUCAGUCAGCUCGCAUCCUGAUUGGCUGUCAUUUUGAAUAAACGUAUUAUUCAUAUAUCAACAGUCGUUAGCUUGUAUGUGUUUUGGCGAACAUCGUACCCCGCUCAUGUGCUGAAGUUACUCUCCUGAAAACAGGGACACAGCAGAACAUUCUCCCAUCAUGUAUCUCUGCUGUUUCAGGUGUGCGGCUGCGAAAGAUCCCGUCGCUCUGAACUUGCGGCGUCCACCUCCAGCUGAGUAACUCUCGUUGUGAGUAAGUGACCUCAUUAUAACUCUUUUAUUUGGAGAUUCGGGCGUCUUACACGUCAUUUCAUCAUUAAACAAUAAAUCAGACCAGAUGCACGAAGCCGAGUCUCCUCAUCGCAGAACCGUCCGGUGUUUUUGCCAAUCUGUUGCUGUGGUGACGGCCAUGAUGGUUAUGAUUUACAUUCGUUAUCUCCCUCGCCAACCCUCCUCCGUCUCCCUCCUGCUCUCAUGGUGGGCGGUGUGGUUAAUACUCGUUAUGUUCGUUACAUUCAUUACAUCUGACAGCAUAAAUAGGCUGCUGUUUUGUUCUCCUGUCUGAUUUUUUUCUCCUCUCUUUCUGUCGUUGACGGCCGGUCGCUCUCCCUCGUUCCUCCCCCUGCCUCCAGAUCAGGUUUUUUUUCCCUCCUCCCUCGUCUCUCUUGCCUCUCUCUCUCUCCACCUCACUGAUGGUUGGAGCAGAGAGUCUAUUCACCAGAGAGAUGAAGCAACAGCUUUCCAGUGCAGCCCCCCCUUCCUCUUCCUCCCUCCAUCCCUCCUCUCUAAACCCCACAGACACAUUAAUCCUUCGCUCAGGCUCAGUUUACAGACACAAUAGGCCUGAAGAAUUGGACUUGAGAUAAUUGUGUUGCUAUCCCAUUUCAUCUGGAAUGGAAUUGGGUGGUGCUCACCACAAAGCUUGGAGUACCCUGCACACACACACACACACACACACACACACACACACACACAUAGGGACGGAGUAGAUUCUGGCGAGCACAGCGCUGUAAUUAUUUCCCCUCUAUUCAUAAUCAUCAUCAUGAAAAUUCACCACCACAGGCCCCGAGUCCACACUCCUGGCCCCGCCGUGUCUGUUUGAUGUGUUGUCAUGACGAUAUGGCGGCAAUAUGGUGCCUGCUCGGUGCCCGUGUUGUUGCAGGGGACUGUGGGUAAUUAACGGCCGUGACAAUAUGGCCAAACACCUGCUCUGGCAAGACCCCGUCGGUCAUCUGGGUUGGCAACCCCUCGACCUCCUGACAAACGCCAGGAGGGAGGAAACGCUCGGGUGGAAAGUCGUUAAAGUAGGAGGAUGGUGGUGUUGGAAGUGCGAGCAGGUGGAGGAAAGAUCGGCAAUCAUCCGACGAGUUUGCACAUGUCGUGGUUCUGAAAUCACAGCGAGUGAACGUGUCGAAAACAUCAGCUCAAGAAUCACUUUAAAUGUUAGUUUGUGGUUUGAACAGCCUGAUCGUCAUGACGCAGGAAUAACCUCCAUCAGGACGACAGGGCGGAGAGUUGGAAACAUGAACAGUCAACUUGAAACUAAAACACAAAAAACACCUAUUGUAUGUCCGAUUGUUUGGAUUGUGUUGUUGAAAACUCCAAAACAGCGACUUUUCAAUAAUCCACCUCAACCAUAACGGGACUUUUAGCUGUUAACGUUUCUGUGUAAAACAGCACAACAAAGAAGAACAUAGUUAUGAAAGGUGAACAGACCUAAAGAUCUGAUUAUUCUGAGUAUUUCCAUCAUCACUCCUCCUCAACAAUCCAAGUCCACAUGUAGGAUAUUCACAGGCUCAGGUAUGUCUCGAUUUUAACCGGUGUAGGUACCAGAUGUGUUCGGGCUGCCAGAUCGACUCGGGGCCUGGCGCCUAUUGAAGACGUCACACUAUGGCAAGUCCACUCGGACAAACUACGUUGCGCUCCAUUUAAUAAGUCAAAUGUGUUCAGUUUAAAGCCCCUCGCGGUUUUCUUUAUUUCUGUUUGUUUAUUCAAUUGAAAUUUUCUCUCCAUAUAAUACAAAGAAUAAUAACUUAGUGCAUUGUAAUUUUUAGAUGGCUUUAAUUUUAAAUGUGAACUUUUCUGAAGGAAAAACAAAAAAAUGUACUCAGGAUCUCCGUUUAUUAACAGACAGUUUUGCUUUUAUUCCACAUUUUCUUUGGCGACCUAAAAGAGGCGAGAAGAAGAGAAGAAGAGAAGAAGAAGUCCUGUUUGAUAAGUAGCGAUAGAUUUCUUCGUAAAAUUCGUCCAUGUUUUCUCUGAAGAACUACAAUCCCAUGAAACCUAAUCUGGCGAAAAUCGCUUCCGUAACCACAAAUAGCGUGACGUCAUCAAUAGGUUUCAGCCCGAACACAUCUGGACCGGACUACCGUCCUCGUCCCAGUUUACGAACGCCAGUAAAGACUCAAAUUACCAAAACAAGUUCUGUAUGUCCACCUCCGCUACAGUAGGUGGCGACAUUUCCAAUUUCAGCUCAUUAUGUAUCUAAACAACCCACAAAAUGUGUUAGCUAGUGGCUAACAGGAGGUAUAAAAACACAGUCGCUGCUGCAGUCUAACAUGAACUAACCUGGAAUUCUGGCUAAAUAACAAGGUGAUUAAGCCAGAAAUAUUAUUAACUAAAUGUGUAAAUUAAACAUUAAAUUUAAUUAAAAAAUUAAAAAUAAUGAGGGUGUUGGAAAUGAUGGUUGGGUGUGACUUUUAAACCAAAGCUAGCGUUGACAUUUUCAAAUCCAAACCUUGACUUUUCCUCGAAGUUCGUCUUUACUGUGUCUAAACCUGAACAAACUACAACCAGUUCAUAACGUUAACCAGGUUCGUAUCAUUGCUGCUCGUCCCAGAUCUGCUGUUUCUCAGUCAGAUGUUUCUAGAAGUCUAACCUGAUGAGGAAACAUGUUUAUUUCUGUCUUUAAGUUAAACUGUGAAUUUCUCUGUCGUCAUGACUCACCUUGGGUCAUUGUCUGGUGUUUUUUGUAUCGGUUGUAUCGCUGCAGCUUUGGUGGAUGUGAGAGUUUAUUCGGUCCUUUGUUCUGUCGGUCUUACAGUCAUCUUCAAAGAUGUUGUGAAACUCAACAACAAUGGUGGAAAGAUGUUUGGGAACUUUCAAAAUCCUCAGUCCUUUCAGAAACUCUCAAACGCUGUUAUUUUCAACACAGUUCAUCUUUUUGCUGAUGAGCCACAAGCAAACUUUGGGUUAUAAUAAACCCUUCGACACACACACACACACACACACACACACAGCUGUGCACACACAGCUCUUCCUCCCUGCCUACGCAUGCUUCACCUUUUGUCCCAUUAUCUUUUGUUCCGCGUUUGAUCUGCUGAUUACAUAAUUGCCAUUGUGUAAUCUUCUUUUUAUAAAACUGACCUGCAUAAUCAGCCUGUCUUAGACGCUGUUUCUCCCAGACCUGAUGAAGCAAAAGGAACAUUAUGUAACCGCUAUUUUCCGCCACGGGUCACUGAAAUUCACUCUGAUUAGACUUUUAAUAUUUACAGAAAAACAGACAAAAAGACUGCCAUGACAACAAAGUGAGGAGAUGAAACAUGCAGACGAUGCUUCUGGAUCAUUGGUUUUUCGUCUCUUAAUGAGCUCAAGUUUUAAUAAGUUGAAGAGUUUGAGUUUAGUCCUCAUGUCAUUCUCGGCAGCUCGGUCUGGACCGGAUGCUCCUGGUGAAAAAAUGACAAUGAUAAGUGACGUGGCGGAUUUGUGAAUGGAUUUGUGCAGAAUGCAGCUGCACCUCAUGGAAGCACGGUUCAUAAUUCAACAACACAGAAUGAGGCAUCAGUCUGCAGGACGCUCUGCCUACAUAGAAGCCUAUGCAUCUAAUGUAGGACUGCAUUCCUGUGAUUGGUCUGCUUGGUAGUUUGACGCUUAUCAGCCACGAAAUUCACCUCACAAACACAUCCGGUAGGAAUUGGCGGAUGGCAAAAAUCGCUGCUGUUCCAUAGCGUACUGUAACCCUUACAUUGGUGUCAGCUAUCAUGGCUCAGAUGGACCCAGUCUUAAGUCUGAAGUGCAACCAGAUGCUUCGAUUGGAGUUUACAGGGUUUGUUCUGAGUUCGUUCCAUUAGCACCUGGACCUUAAAGGGAAUGAGACACACUCUGAUCAGUCUGGACACACUAACCCUAAAAGACCUUUAAAUGAUCAAGAUGGUUAACACAACCUCUUUGCACCAUGAGCUUCAUGUUGUGCAAAAUGGUGCGCCGCUUAACUAGCAAAACAGGUUUCUUCAGAUGGAGACAGACAAAUCAGAUUUAAAAAAAAGACAUGAACUCCAGAAAAACUCUGUGAACAUGGUUCAAAAUUAAAGUUAACAUUAACAUCAGAAUCUGUUGAACUCCACAGAAGAUUAAAUUACAAACACAGUAUAUCUCUAAAGACACACAGACUAAGAAACUACAUUUUCAUCCUGAUCAUUUGUUUUAUAAAAAAAGAAAUAAUAAUUAAUAUGAAGAAAACCUUUAUUUCUAACCUACUGUUUCCAUUUAUUAUUCACAGUCUGAUAGUCUGAUCUUCUUUCUUACAACUGCAUGACACAACUUCAUGAUACUAUCAAAUUUUUUAUCUCUUCUUUGUUUUUUUACCUUUCUGAAUAUUUACUCAAAACUCUAAAGAGGCCAGACUGAGAGAAGUGUACCCCACCUUCCUUUACCUCUCUAUGGAGGACCGACACUUGAUAUAAGGAGGGUCAGUUUUGUGAGAAGCAAUGCUGGAAAUGAUAUUUUCAAAUGUUCCAAAUUAAAGAUUAAUGUGAAUGAAUCCUCAUGAAUCAGUCCAGUUAGAAAAUAAAUCACAUGUAUCUUUGCUCAGCUCCACAUUUUCUCUCACACUGAGUUAUUUUCCCUCUCUUUUAUCUCCUCCUUAAACUCUCUCUGUCCUCCUUUAUAUUCCUCACCCUCCGCUCUCUUUACUUCUCCUCUCUCUCUCCUCUUCUCCUCCACCUCAGCUCUCCCCCGUCCCCCUCCUGCAGCCCUUCCCCCUCCGCCCUGUAGGGGUCACUGUGGCUCUUCCCCAGCCCCCCGGCUCCCUCGGUGUGGCUGCAGCCCCUGUAGUGAAACGCCUCGCAGGCAUCAUUUUCUUGGUCAAAGUAUAAAAUGUUUUCUUGUGCAUAAUGGAAGCUGGAGAAUAUUAACGGGGCAAAUAUCUGAUUUCAUGCAAAAGAAAAUAUCUGAUGUACGCAGAGGAAUAUUAAACAUGUCUGCCGGUAUUGUAGUUUUUUGAGCGAAACAAAAAAGCUUUUCAAUCCCACAGAGAGAGCGAGAGAGAGAGAGAGAGAGAGAGAGAGAGAGAGAGAGAGAGAGAGAGAGAGAGGAGGGAGCAGGUAGCAGAGCAGAUACUCAGCAUGUUCAACCACGGCACAGUACAGACUCGCUGUUAAAGGGCCAGUUCACCCAAAUAUGAAGAACAAGAACACUCUGAGUGAGAGUAUGAGGCUUUGCAGAUGGGUUUAGCGUUUGGGUUGCACAAUACAACUCUAAUAUACUAACAUACGAGAAGCAAUGAAAAGCAGCCUGAUUUAAGAAGACGUCAGGAGUCGAAAGAAGAGAAAAAAUCAAUCCAACCACGUGUGCAAUAAACGAUGCAACGUGACAAAAACACGUCCAAACUCGACUGAAAGUGAAAUCCAAAUAAGCAACCACAAAAUCCGAACAUUGACUCAGGAGGUUUCUGUAAAUUCUGACUCCUCCUCGCAGCUCAAACACAUAAACGAUGUUUCUUCAGCUUUAAAAUGAGCCACAGGUGGAUGAUUUAUCGAAUCCAGACUUGGGCAUUUUACGGCCCUUUGGAUGUCCCUGCCCGGCCCUUUGUGAGGUCCGUCAAACAAAUCAUCAAGGUGCUAUAAAAGUGCGUUGCUUUUAUUUUGAAAACCUAGCCGUUAUUUUAUUUCUGUUUGGACGCACAUGCGUACAUCCUAGAUCUGCAUUUGUGAACAGAGAAAAGUUUAAACAUCGACAAAACACACGUGGACGCCUCAUAGUUGCUAAGUCCGCUUAUUAUAAACGACUCAAGGCUUGUUUCUCUUGUUUCUCUCAGAAGUUGCUUGUAAAACUCGUGAGUCGCGCUUUUUUGGGCUUGAUUUCAACACGUAGUUGCUCAUAUCGGCCUGUUUUCCUGUAUGUGUGAGCUCUGUAUGUCUGUUUAAUUUGAAUGAUGCUAAAUGAGUUUCUAGAAACAUAUAUUUGAAUGGAUAAUGUAUAAAUUUAGAGUUUAACUAGUAAUAUUGAUUAGGCAGGUUACCGAUAGAUAUGAUCAUAUUGAUUAUUUCAGUUUGUGUUUCUUUUUUUUACAUGUUUUAUUUUUGCACAAAAGUUAAAAAGUACAUUUUUAUGAAGUGUUAAGAUGAUAUGAGGGUACUGUUGAUUCGUAAGUACUUCAGAGGACAGAGGAGCUUUAAGAUUCAUUUAGAGGAGUAGUUAAUAUUUCUACAUGUGAGGCAUCUAUAUGUUUGUAUCGAGGUUGGAUGUUGACAAAGCUGCAGCAUCUGUAAGGUUGGAUAAACGUCUACGUUGUCUGAAGUAAAGUUUUUAUCUUGUGUUUUUGUGUUUUUAUCGUCUGUAAAGAACAGCUGUCGAUCCUUUUCUUCUCUAACCAGCAGGUUAAGAUGAUUGAGGGGUCAGCGGUCAACGCUGGUGUCAAAUAAUCAAUAAAAUAAGUGAUUGGGAAGCAUGUCAAACACGAGCGGCGUGUGUUAAUAUGCAAAACAGAUCAGACUGAGUGCACACUCUUUUUUAGGCUUGGAGAGACGCGGUUAAAGCGUUAGAAGACUGUUUAUUCUUGGUGGAAAUUCAGACAAACUCAGCUGCAGACUCACACAGUUUUACCAAACAGAAACAAAACUGAGGAAUUAGUCAGCAGUCGAUCCAGAAAGAGACAAAAACACAGGAGCGAGUGCGGUCAUGUCUUCCUGUUGUGAAAGCACAAAGCGGUUUCUGUCGAGGUGUUUGUGUUCACGUUCAUAAACCACACAGACUCUGUUUUUUUAUCUUAAUCUGCAGCAUGAUGGCAAUGACCGCACACGUCUGCUGCAGCUCUGGUUCGGUGUUGAACACGGAGUCCUGAUGCACAACAACUAAUAAUAAACAUUAGCGCUAAUGAUGCUAACAACAGAGCGCUCAUUAAAACCUGAUGUCAGCGUCCUGCAGAUGAAAGAGAACGAAGGCAGGAAAACACAAAAUGGGAGAUAUUUAUGGAGCCGCAGAAAAUGUCUUUUGUCUGGUGGAGCGAACACACACACACACACACACACACACACACACACACACACACACACACACAGAUCUCCAUUUAUCCAUCUUUGUAUUCUUCAAAAAGCAGAAGUCAAAUCCAGCAGCCUCUGACUCACUGUGAUAUAUUCUACUGUUACACUGCUUGGAAGUGUGUGUGUGUUUGAGUGAUUAUGUGUUUGUGUGUGUGCAUGUGUGUGUGCAUGUGUUCAGUCAUUGACUCACUCUCAUAUGAACCCUACGUAUAUGAAGAACAUGUAGGCUGCACAGUGUGUCAGUUGUCAAACAUUAAUGAGACCGUGUUCAGCAGACUGAAUGCAGACACCGCUGAUUUAUUCAUCCCCUCAAGUUCUUGUUUUUAGCGUCUUGAGGGCAAUCCACACCGCAGGCAUAUUGUUAAGUAUUUCUGUAACAUUACAGACGUCUCCAGGAACAUAUAUUUUUUUCCUGAUAAUGCCGACAGAAUCAGUCCUCGCCCUCUCGGAAACCUGCGAGUCUUUUUUUUUUCUUCCAGCCUCUCUUUGCUCACUGAAGUGUAGCUUCCUGUGCAGCCGUUGUGAACAUGUGAGGUAAAUCUAUAUUUAUGGAUCAAGGGCCUCAUAUAGGCUUACGGAGCUGCAGUGGAUUAGGAGAGUAAAAUAAAUGACUGUUUUUUUUUUUCCUGGAAAUUUCAGACGUCAGUCAGACGAGCGAGAACGCUCUGUGCAGGCGUUAAAAACGUAAAGCAGUUUGUCCAAAUAUAGAAUACAACCUUUUCUGUGACGGUGGAUCUAAUUUACUGUUUAUACCUAAACCUACACGAAGAAAUUCACUAUAACAUGCGCUUUGAUUUGAACCUUAUAUAGAGCAGCUUGUAGAAAAGGUUAAAGCUAACUCCCCACCAAAAUAAAAUAAUAAAAAUAGUAAUAAAGGAUUUAAUUUAAUACCAGCGAGACAUGUCUAAAAAGUUGGGACAGAGAGAAAAAAGAAAGGACGUAAAGAGACAGAAACUUUCAAUCGGAUUAACAGAUAGUACAGAGCUGUCCUGUCCUGCUAGCCUCUUGCUAAUCCAUUUUUCUGACUGUUAACCAAGAAACAACCAAGCUGACUGAGAGUUUGUCGCCACCUACUGUAGCGGAGGCAGACAUGCUUGUCAAAAGUUAAACUUUAGCCUGGAGCAGGUAAAUUAAGAAAAGGAUAAACGUUGAUUGAAAUAAUCUAAACGAGCGUGCAGUGAAGUGCAUCUUAACUUUGCGUAAAUGAUAUAGACAGAAAAGUUGUUCAGUGUUCUCAAAGUUCAUUUGUUGUACGAUAUUGUAAAAAGCCCAGUUACUGAGGCUGACUUGCAUCAGAAAGGUUGAGUUCUUUUGACGAAAUAGAGUUAAAACUUUUUCCACUUUGUAAAAAACUGCGUGAGCAAAUAGUUCAACAAUUUCGACCUUAUUACUCAGUGCUCGAUGCAGAAACGACUGCAGAUUACAGAAACUUCUUGAGUCCAUGUUCAGAUUUUGUGGUUACUUGCCGUAUUGUUCAUGUGUUGUUGUCAUGUUGCAUCGUUUAUUUCCCCUUUUCUCUGCUGAUCACGACUUAUUUAUGAAAAACCUGCCCGGAUCAGUAUGUGACCUCCUUUUUUUGUCGUCAUGUGCACGGUUUUAGCCUCACUGUAGCUAGUUUGUACCUUUCUGUCUUAAAGUGUCGGUGUGUCUUUGAAUCGAGUUCCCCAAAAACAGAGAUGUCUAAGAUUUCAUCUUCUGAAGUCCAUAAAAAUCUGAAAAAUCUCUGCAAAAAAGGAACAAGACCCAAAAUUUAUACAGCAAAAAAAAGACAUGACUCCGUGUUUCAGGAGGAUCAUAUUUCAACGCAUGGAAACGGGCGGAGACGAACAAGUGGAAGGUUUUUAGACGUCAUUUCACCCCGAUGACACCAUGGAUGAGGAGAUGCUGAUUCUAGAAGUCUAGAAGUAGAUUUCCUCCUCUGGAAGGACACAAUCUACUGCUUAUAUAGUUAGCCUCUGUGGCUAAAGACAACUCGUUUUCGCACGAUUGCACUUGAAUCUGCAGGUUCUUGUGAGUUCUCACGAUUCCUGCUGUAGGUAAUCUGCCACAGAAUUCGCCUCAUAAUCUGAUCCAGUAGGAAUUGGCGUAAAAAUCGUGGCCGUUCUGGAUCAGAGCCGUUCCGGAUGCGGUGGAAAUCCUGGGUUAGACCGAGACAGCCAAAAUCUCAGCAUAGAAGUUUACAGGAAACCCACAAAUACUGCGUCUGCGUCUGCAAAUUGAGCCAACGUAGAGUCCAAGUCUGAGUCGAGUCCAAGUCUGAGUCGAGUCCUUAUUGUUUGAGUAUAAAUACCAACUUUAACUGUACCUCACAAAAACCUGAAGCUUUUUCAGCAAGGUGUUUCGAGAUGUCACAAGACCUGCUGUGAAGUGAGUCGGUCCUCUCAACGAUCGGAGCAGAGCCGCGAGUGCACUUUGAAGAACACACCACAUCGGAGAGAGUGCAUUUUGGUUUUUGAAUUGGAAAAAGAAAGAAGUCUCUAAAAGGUUUUUUUUCUUCAAGCAAAGAAAAGCAUUUUUUAGUCAGAGUCUGAGAUUACAGUGUGUUGCAUAUCUGUCAAAAUCUGCAAAAGAAGGUGCAUAAUUUGUCUUAAAACAUCGGAGGAGUCACUUCAUGAAGGUACGUUGUUGAGAAUAGUCCAGGAUGUGGUAGAAUUUGAGUAAGAUGACUCCUCCACUCUCUUAUUCUCGCUCUCCUGAGCCGCCCUCUUCCUCUUGAGCUAAACAGAGCAUUGUGGGUAAAGACUGUGCAGGUGGCGGUGGAGCGUCCUCGAGAGGCCGAGCCGGCUGUUCGAGUCCCUGAUUACAUGUUAACACUAAUUAAAGGAAGGAGAGAAAGAGGAAGGACAAUCUGUACGGUAAUCAUUAGCAAAACGAUGGGACCAGACGACCACAUGACCCGUUUGGACUAAAGUAACCCCACUUCCUCCGUUAUAGGGGACGUGAACGCAACACGAAUUCACCCAAAAUACCACUCUUUACUACCAGCAGUUUGGAGUUGACUGAGGUGUAAACGUGCGAGAGAAAAUCCAUCCCCAUCAGCUUCAUCUUGAUAUUACAGUCGUUUCAAAACUAGAAAUCGACUUUGUGCCGUUUCAGCAGGACUACCGUGAUCGCAGGAAUUUUAGAAGUCCAUUUGAAGUCCUGGUUGACAAUCUGAGAAGCAGUUGAGGCAGAUUUGAAAAAAGCAUCCCACCCCCCACAUUCCACGAUAAACCCACCUCGAACCUGCAUCUCCCUCCCCACGACACACCCCCUCUGACAGAGCAAGAAGCCGGCCUGCAGAAGAUCCUACGCUAGCUUCAAACAGGAUUCACCAUGUCGGAUUGUUAGUGACUAGCGGCAGUAAACGCCAGCUCUGCUAGCGAGCGCCGUCUGCAGCUGCCUGGACAGCUACCGUGUUGACAUUGACUCCGCCCUUUCUUCUGUCAGCUUGCGUUUUCUUCCCACUUUUGGCGGUGGGGCGGGCAAAAGUGUUAGCUCCUGUAGCUAAGCUGCUAUGCUACUUUUAGCCGCUCAGAGCUCCGAGGAGGGCCGGGAGAGUGGGAGGGGACGAGUCGGAACUACGGGAGAGGGGUGUGUCAAAUACAGCGAGGUGAUUGGAUGGAGAGGCAGAGCAGGAGAUUGACCAAUAGGAGCUGUCCAGGAUGGAUGGCUCCCAUUGGUCAGUGUUUUUGCAGCCCUGCACCUGAUAGGAUGAACGGAUUUUUUCUGUUCUUUUUUCUGUUCACUUCGUGGAGAUCGCACUACAGGACCAUGAUCGCCAUAGAAACGAUUACCAAUCUCUCCAAUCAUCAACCACGCCUUUAAGUUCACCUAAUCAAAGGACUUGAUUUUAAAUUAAUGGUGCAGUGAAGGUUUUGUUUCAAGGUGGGACCAAGUACUUCAAACCAAGAGCCGAGGACCUGUUUCAGUUUGGUCAGUUGGGUCUGAAAUGAUGAAGAAAACAGUCUCUUUAAAUGGCGAUGAGGCGUUUUUCACUCCUUUAUAAACAAACAACCCCAACAGGAUAAUCACAUGAAAGAAAACCAGGACAACAUGAGGAGACUGAUGUGACAUUUACAGAGGCAGGUUUGGUGAGACCAUUACCAAAAUAGAAAACAGUACUUUUCUCUUUUCUUGGACAGGCUCUAAAUGCAAUCUCUGAAAUCAAACAUUUUUGAGAGGGACGGCGGUUGCAUCCGGAAUUUACGGUCACUCAGACAAAACCGGCUCAAAAAAUUGGACCACUUUUGAUGGGUCUAUUGAGAAUAAGGUCAGUCACUUUAAAACUGCGAAGACCUCUUCUCAGAAACAUUUGAGUAAAAUUACCAACAAAUGGUUUGACUUCAUGUUUCCAUCUUCAGAGAGCUGACUCAAGAAACCAUCGACGAUGAUGGGACGUGUUAGGAGUGGCGAUUUCUCGAAAGUAUCCGACUCCAAUGUCAUUUCUCAGGUUUUCGAGACUGUUUGUUUUAACCGAGUAAAAACAGCGUGAUUUCCAGAAGUAGAACAAGAGUAUGUUAAAUUUCAACAAGAGUCAAGUGAUCAUCCAGGUCAGAUCAUCUCUCUGUACAAACCGUCUCUGGGUUUAAUGCGAUCCAUCCUCGCACGGCCGCCUCUUCCUGCCUCUCUGACACGUCUGCUAAAAAGCAUGCACAGGCUGAAACAUUUCAGGGGUGGGGGGGGGGGUUUAUGUGAUUUCACAGGGUCUUUGUGCAUUCGCCCUCGCCAACGAAAGCCUCAAAAAACAGCUUUAAAAACGCAGCGCUGAGCUCCAAACGAGCUCCGAGUGGGAGGACGAGCAAGCAAAGGUGGGAAACAAUCCGCUUCCGCUCGGAGAAAUUACCACUUCACCGUGAAAACAUGCGGCUCUGGAGCCCAGUGCUGAUAAAAAAAAAAAAAGAAAUAAAUGAGAAGCAGCACUCCUCCUCCUCCUCCUCCUCCUCCUCCACCUCCUCUCCUGUUCAUUUACUCUCUCCAGGCGGAGAGUUUAUCAUCAGCCGUCCACAAAAACAUCAGUCAUGUUAAAGCGUGCUGGUAUUUCACCUUUAUGGCCGUAGCUGAGGUUCACUGUGAUAAAAAAAAAAGAGAAGAAAAAAGUGAAUUUUUCCAUUUGAUGUGUUUUUGUAGCCUGCAGCUGCUUUCAAGCCAAACACUUGAACAGGAAAUUAAAGCAAAUAUCAGCCCACGAAAAGGUCGAGGGACGUUAUAACGUAAGAGUUCAGAGUAAAUAAAGAGUUUUAAUUUCACCCUGAGCGCUGGAACGUCACAUCGCAUCGACGGUGUCAUCGUCAUCGACCGAAAUCUCUCCAAACGAAAUAUUCAGAUCAUAUUAACACAACAAUAGUGCAGGUUACAGCGAGUGAGCUUUAAAUGUUGGAGUCAGAAUCAGUGGGUGAAGUUGAUGCCGUGCCAGCUGGAGGUGAGGCUAAAAUACGCUUCAUCAUCCAUAAUGUAACAGUUCGCACUAAGCGUAGAUGUAUCAGGUUAGGUGAGAGUCGACGAAUCGCUCUGUAGUGCUGCUGUCUUAUUAUUGAGCUCAACCAGCAGAUCUGGUCUGUGGACUCCUCGGCUGGACCUCCCCCUCAAAUGUAGGAACACCAAAUCCAUCGACGUUAAACACACUGGAUUUACGCCUAAGGACUUCAGAUUUGGAGCAGCUAUUGUCAGACUUCGAGGCCCCAGAGCUCGCCACAUGUCCACGACACAAACAGUCCAAAAGUCCCAGACCUGAUCCUUUUGGUGCAGUUUACGUCACUAAAGGAUUUCAAUUUUAGGAUCACAAAGACCAACGAAAAAGACUGAUUGACAUGGGCAGGACAUACAUGAACGGUGGGAGUAGUGAAGAUACACAACAGUGGAAACUAUAACUAUAACCUCUCAUGUGUCUUUUUCACUUCCCUCGAUUCUAGACGGUAAUGUCACAUAAAUUUGGUUUUGUAAAGUCAAGUUUAUUCAAAUACAAAAAGUCAAUCAUAGUUGAAGUUGAUGCAGUUUAGAGACUAAUGAAAUAAUAAAAACCUGAUUUGAUCUGCUCUUUUCCAACCGUCUUUCUGUGCAGUGGGAUCUAGAUCUUCUUUACCUCCUGCUGACAACGCCAAAACUCUUCCGAGCUGAACAGGUCACAUUAGUUAUUUCCACUUUUAAUGGAGACGUCUGAACAAACUGUCUGAAAAACCACAAGUUUUUAAUCCCUGGACUGUUUUAAACCUGGGAAACUGAGCUGGUCACACAUCUGUGAUUCUGUUAUCUAAUUAGGACGAUCGUUAAAUUAACUUUCUGUGUUUUUCAGAGUUUCACCGUGGUUACAGGAGAAUUUGUGAAAAGUUAGUUCUGUCAGUUUGUCGUUGACUGACUCACAGUCCAGUUGUAUCUGACUUUUUUAACAGAUUUUAACACAAGAUAAACUGUUGGCAAAAGUCGAGGUCUUUGUUGUCGCAGUAAGACUUCUUCUGGACCCGCCUCUUGAGCCCACGGUGGUGAAAUAUUCGGAGUCAGUCGGUCUGGAGCGUUUCAUGACACACUGAUGAGUUUCGAGGUCUCUAAGCGACUCCUAAACCUGAUCAUUAUGGCUCUCUUUAGGUCCGGGUCUGGUUCAACACCAAUUGGAGGUUUUUCCCACUCCACCCACUCCUCAGAGCUUCGUCUUUCUACGCCUCCAAACUGAGCGAACUGUUUGCUGAAUUGUCAUCAUGAGAAUUUCCCGACUCUAAUCUGUUUUUUAAUGACCGAUCAUUCACGCCAUUCUUAAAUAAGGAGAUCAGACCUGACGUCUUUUCGGUAUUCGGUAUCAGUUUUAUCCCGAACCCUGAACCUAAAACAGGAACUUUCUCACACAUUUGGCUUUUAAACAGACCCAGAAGACCUCUGUUAACCUCAGUCCUGCUAAAUAUCAGAGCAUCAACCUGCCCAGGUGAGAUCUACGGUUAUGUAAUAUUUCAGAUCUCUAUCACAGCUGUUUUUUUUUGUGCUUUUUGAAGACUUGGAUAAAGACGCCGGCCCUGGUAUUCCCUGUAUUCAUAGAUUAGAUUUAUGUUCCCAGUGGCUGAAACUCUGACAUCCUUUUCUGGAUGAAUCCAUGAAAACAUUUCCAAGCUAAUCAUGAGCUCGGCCGGUCCAUCGAGUGUUGUCACACUGCGAGCUAUUGAGCCUUCAACCCUUUUAACACCCGAGCUGAAAGAAAACCAGGGGUGGGGAUCAAACCUGCGGCCUGCUGGGUUCAGACACUCUUCCUCUCCCUGAGCCUGAACAUUUAUGAACAUCAGAGGAGCCCUCAUCGACCCCGGAGGAGGAGGCUGGAAAUGAGUCAAAGAAGACAGAGAAGGGAGGACGGAGCGCAGGAGGGUCUCGAACAGGGCGUGACGAACACAGAGGCAGAGGAAAGCAGUCAGUCAGUUAAUAAACAGGCAGGAAACCGUCGUGUCGGGCUUUUAAUCGGUCAGUCAGUGAAGCAGAGGAUCGAUGGAGCAGUCGCUCUGUUGCUGACUGGUUACUGACUGGAUGUUGUGAAGCUCAGCAGGUCGAUCUCUGCAAUCGAUGCCGAAAACAAGCAGAGACACAACCUGCUGUGUGCGAGUCUGUGUCUGUGUGUGUGUGUGUGUGUGUGUGUAGGAGAAAAGCUUUUUGUCUUUGAACACCAAACAAACUAAACUGCACACACAGGUACAAGGAAAGGAUUGUCUCUGGAAACUAUUUCAUAAAAUACAGUUUAUGGAUCAUUUCUGGUGUUGGUCUGCAGCGCUGAGAACCGUCUAUAACCACAGCCUGCCGAGAAAAAAACAACAAAUUAAAAUAAAAAGUGCCUCUUCAACCAGAAGGUAAGAACCAGCAAAACAACAAAGACUGAAUCAUUUUAAAGAAGUUCAGACCGCACCUUUUGGACAGUAGUGUCUUAAUCCAUCACACAGCUCAUCCCUUUAAGGGUUUUCUCCAUUUUUUCUCUAUAGUGAUGUAAAUUUUGACCUCUUAAGUUUAAAAAAGGAAGUGUGAGACUGGAAGACCAACCUGGGCUGAGUCCAAAACCAGUCGCUCACUUUAUAGUGUCAAUCAGACCGUUAGAGUCCAGAACUGAGUCCAGAAUCUGGACUUUGGUGUUUUUAGUUUGAGGUCGGACAGAAAUCUUAACUUUUCUGGCUUAUGCAGAUGUAGCUAGAUGUGUCGUAUCGAGCUUUCGGAACAGCAGUGUUAGCUACGAUGAUGGUUGGGCUUCUGGAUGUUCUGCUAACGUAACAUCACAGCAGUCUGAAACGAUCAAAGAGAUGAAGGUGAGGUGUCUCAUCCUUAUGAACAGUUUCGUGCCUCAGAGAAAUCUUACACCGGCUACACUCACAAUAAGCGUGCGUAAUGUUGUGUUGACUUUAGAUGCUUUUAAAUGAUCAACCUGUGUAAUUUGUGGGUAUUCGAACACCUGGAUGUUCUGUGUGUAUUUGUAAAGACUUAUUGCUCCGUUUCUGCGCCACAAUCCAGCCGACGGGAGUUUCCAAACAUGGAAAUUAAUGCAACAAAGUUCAGGGUCUUCACGCCAUUUCAGUCUGUUUACAUCAAACAUGGUCGAGGUCUCUUCGCCUCGAGGAUUUGUUGUGUUUUCAAAUUUUUUACGAAAUAACCGAACCUCCUCGCUUACUCUUUUCCCCUAACUCCUGUUUCUACGAUAAAUACACGUUAAAACGUACAGUUCAGUCAGCGUAGAAGAUUUGCUUGCUCUAUUCCCAUGUCAGAAUCGAGUCGACGGGAGUUCCCAAACACUUGAAUUCAUGUAAGAAAGUUUGGGGUCUCUUCACGCCAUUUCAGUCUGUUUACAUCGAACAUGGUCGAGGUCUCUUCGCCGUGAGGAUUUGUUGUGUUUUCACUUUUUUUUACGAAUUAAUCAAACCUCCUCGCACACUUUUUUUCCUGACUCCAGUUUCUAUGAUAAAAACAAGUAAAAUGUAAAGUUUAGUUCGCCGUGCAGCAUCAGCAUCAGUUUGUCCUCCAUUUUUCAGAUGAAUGGACCUCCACCAAGUAUCUCAAUAUUUAUUAACAACCAUCGCAUGUUUGAUUAGCUUCAGUUCAGGUUUAUAAACUCACAAAAUCCUGAUUCAAAUGAGCGAGGAACUUUACGAUCAAACUCUCUCCAAAGUAAGCGGAGAAACUUUCAGUGUGAGUCCUGUUUGACACUGAAAUAUUAUUUUUAAUCUCGAUUAUCCAAACAGUUUUUACCAAAAUACCCUCAGAGAAAAGGAGAUCCUAAGUGCUCGCUUUGAUUGGUUGAUUUCAUGACCACCCCUCAACACUCCGCGUCUAAAAAAUUAAUGAAUUCAAUUCAGAGCGAAAACAAACAAGAGGGCCGACCUCGGAGUCCUCGGGGGGCGCCGGAGAAGUAAAUAAAUGUGCCAGUUAACAAAAAGAGGCCUGGUGCUCUUCAGUCUGACAAAGAAAGGCAGAAGGUUUGUGAAGCUCGUCUGCACUCAGUUUGCCAACAGUGAAGUGUUGUCUCUUUUCCCUCUCCAGCCUUCAUCAUCCUCUCCCCAUUCAGCACCACACCUCGCUGUGAGGAGACUCAUUCCCCUCGUCCCCCGCUGCCUGCAAAAAUUGGCCCAGGGGACUAACAGAGGAGGAGGAGGAGGAGGAGGUGCGUAGGAGAGAGUGGAGAAGAGCUUUUGACACACAAAGAUCCAGUUCAGAAGAAACCGUCCUCUGGAGGAGAGUCAGAGCGUCCGCUGGUUUCACGUCUGUUAUCCUGAUGAUGAAUGUCGCCCCGUGACGUCUACGAUAAAGACUCUGUGAAACACAUUCAUCCACAUAAAACACCGAACAGAAAAACCUUUACUAUGACGAGUCCCUCUGGACGAAGUCGUGACACGAUCAAAAUAAACAUGAAGUCGUGUUCCUCUUUCAUUGAGUUUAUUAGGAUUAGGAUUAGGAUUAUCUGUAUUUCUCAGCCAAGUAUUUCUCUCACAACUGGGAUUACAGUUUAUAUCUAGGGUGACCAAAUUCUGAAUCCCCCAAAAGAGGGCGAGAUUACGUGGGGGCAGAGUCUCAGGGUCAUGCGUUGUAAACUUUGAGAGUUUUUUAGGUCAGGUCGAGUGUUUUUUUUAUGUGCUUCUAACUCAAAACUUCUGGACAUACCCGGGUAAAAGAGGACGUACGGUCACCCUAAUAUAUCCCGCCUGGCCUGGAAACACCUCGGGAUCCUGGAGGAGGACCUGGAAAGUGUUGCCGGGGCAACAGGUCUGGAUCAACUUACUUAGAAGAAAAUGGAUAAACGUCAACAUCAGUCAGUUUUAGUGAUGGGAACUACGGCUCUUUUUAGAUCAUUCGGCUCAGCUCACCAAGAAGAAUCGUCUCUUUCGGCUCCCAAACGGCUCUUCAUUUUAUCACUUAUACGUUUUCUAAUCCAGUAUAAUCUAGCGUUGUUUGGCCUCUCAUAUGUACGUAUGUGUUACAUCCUUUG